This 3042-nucleotide long non-coding RNA is filed under the name Marmota monax (woodchuck). The record is from RNAcentral. Lineage: Eukaryota; Metazoa; Chordata; Mammalia; Rodentia; Sciuridae.
GGGGCGCUGUGGACCCCGUGCCAGGUCACGGCCUGCCUCACAGACACCUCCAGGUGAGGUGUCCCCACCCAGGGCGACACGGGGCGGCGUCCGCGGGCCCUGGAUAGAGGCCUGAGGCAGGCGCGGGCAGGCAAGGAAUGCUCUGGCCGGGGAGGCCCCUUGGAAGUCAGGGCGGCGGGAGGGGGCCGCUCUGAACCUCGGGCUUGGCUGGGGAUGUUUGGACAAGGCAGGCGGCCAGGGGUGUCAUCAGGGCUAAAAUUAGCCUCCGUUCCCGCUCAGCCCCUCCCCGGCCAGGAGGGAGGCUGGGCGCCCUCGUCCGUGGGCGCUCGGGAGGCGGCAGGCACCGGCCCAGUGACCUGGGGCCGCACUCUUGUGGCAGUGCCCUCACCCCCAUUUCACAGGUGACAGAGCUGAGGCUCAGAGAAAGCCACUGGCCGAGUCACGGCUCAGGGGGCAGAGCUGGGACGGCCACCCCGGACGCUGCCCUCCAGGCUCCCGCAGGGAGGUGACGGGCACGUGGUGAGCGGGCGGGGACCCUCUCGCCCUCCCCUCAGCAUGUCGCGACUGGUUUUUCUGACCAACUUCCCAAGAAACGCCUGCUGGCCUCGCGACCUGCCAGGGACCCGAAAGACCCUGGCCUGGGCCCAGGAAGGCCAAGGAGCUGCCCAGGCGCACAGGUGGCCGAGCAUGAAGACGUGAGAUCCAGCGGCAGGGAUGUGGCCUCCCCCAGGAGCCCCAAGGUCCAGCAGCUAAAUGGGGGCACACGUCAGCCAGGUCCCGCUCCCCGGGGCCCUCUGAGGGGUCAGUGGUAACCAGCGGCUGUGCUCUGGGACUCGCCGGGCAGACGGGGACAGCUGAGAGCCUUCAUUUACAGUCCAGCUGAGCUGGCCCCUGACUGUUUGUAGGUCGGAUCCCUUGGCUGUGGGGACGGUCCCCGCGAGGGCAGGUGCUGAAACGGGGGUGGAGGAGGCACGUGGGCCCCGGGUGACUGUGGGGGGGGACCAGCCAGGAGGGGCCGCGGGCUCGGGCCUCCCCCACCCCGCCAGGGCUGCAGCUACUUCGCCCCCGUCCUGGCUCUUCACUGUUCAUGCGGUCGCUGGACAGAGUGGGCUGUGCGCCUGGGGCCCCGCAGGGUGGCCUCGCGUGGGGGGGCGGAGAGCAGCGAGGCGGGAGGGGCCGGCAGGAGGAGCGGGCCUGGGGCAGGAAGUGUCCAAUCUGGGGCACAGCGCAGAGCAGACCUCCCCUCCCCAGCCUGCCAUUUCCUUUCUCCUGGAAGUGACAAUUGGGGACAGCACCUCUGGAGGCCUUACCUGACCCAUGCCCACUGGGACAGGGUUGUCCUGAGCCGAAGACCUCAGAUGCAGGGGGCUGCUCCAGCCCUCCUGGCUGCCCCGUCCGGGGAGGGGCAGGGCGGUGCCCAGCUCCCCAGGUGGCAGGUGGGACAGGCGCCGUGCACGGGAGCCUUCUAGGGGCCACGGGGCUCAGCCCAAAGAGGGGCCUGGUGACCGUGCUAGGACCUACCUCUGAGCCCCUGGCCCUCCCGUUCUCUGCUGAGCCGCCUCCGUCCUCUUCCUCCCCUGGGCAAACUCCCACUCAGGCUUUAUCCCCCGUUCCCCAGGAAGUCUCAUGGACACCCAGACUGACCCCUCUUGCUGUGGGACCCCUUCACAGCCUUGCUCAGCCUGGUCACCGGACUGUGAGCCUCAGGAGAGUGGACCAGGACUGUCUCCGCCAUCACUGUGUCCUAGUGGCCAGCACAGGGCCCAGCACCCAGCAGGCAGAAGUGUUCCCGUGUCAGCCAGAGGCCCUAGCUCCACCUCUGUCUGCUGUGUGACCUUGGAUAAGUGAAUAUCCCUCUCUCAGCCCUGUUUGUCUCAUCUGUAAAAUGGAUACUAAUGCCUCUCUUCCAGCCCCAAAGGCACUGAGAUGGCAAAGAAGUCACGUGGUACAGAAGGCCCUGGACCUGUGCUUGGCACCCAGGACGCAGAUCAACAAAUGUGUACUUAAAAAUCAGGCAAACUAACGCAAGAUCCCACUGUGCACCUGUUAGAGUGGCCCAGAUCCAAAACGGUGCCCACUCCAGGUCUGGGGAGGACGUGGAGCUACAGGAACUCCAGCCACUGCUGGUGGUGAUGCCGAAGGUGGGCCACUCCGAGCGGCAGCCUGGCAGCGGGUUACCAAACCAAACCCUCUCUCCGCCACCACCCGGAAGCUCGGCCCUCAGGUCACCCGCAGGAGCAGAAAAUUGAUGUCACACAAAACCCUGCGCGGUGUUUAUGGCAGCCCAGACGGAAGCAGCACCUGCGCUUCUGGGUGGAUGGCACGGGCUGUUGGCACCACAGAAAGGAGCCCGCGGGCCGCAGAGCGGAGGCUGCCCCCGAGUCCCCGCGGGGAGGCAGCCGGUGCGGUCAGAAGGGGCGGCGCCGCCAGCCAGGGGAUUUCGGGCAGCAGACUCUCUGCGCGUCCUCCGAGGGGACCCUGGGGUCACACUGGGGACUUGAGCUAAUGAAAACGUGUGGCACUGGCUCCUCAGCUGUGGCGGAUGGCCCCCCUGAGGCAGGAUGUGGAGCUGCCGGAGGGACCCAGACCUGCUCCGAGACAGGGAAGUCUGCUAAGGAAGAAGGCUCUUCAGGAGGGCAUGGCACCGUCCCCCAUGGGCACGGCGACACUCACCAGGCGGCUUCUUGCAUGCCUGAUGGGCGGCAGCGGAAGACUGGAACAAGGAAGCACACUCUGCCCUGAUGUGCCACAGGGUGGAAUAUUAUGCUGCCACUAAAAGAGCGGGAAGCCCUUGGUUAGAAGGAAGGAACCAGCCCUGCUGUUAAGAGGGGCAGACAGAGCACCUCAGGCCCCCGAGUGUGAUACGGUCUCUGUGGGGAAAAGAAAUAAACAGACAUGCGUGUUUGGGUCUGGUCUCCCUGAAAGGAGAAACUGGACACCGCUGGGGGCUUCUGCGGGUGGUGGGCGGUGGGUGGCUGAGAUUUACCCCAACACCCUUGGGCACCCUUUGAAUUCUGUGGCCCAAAUUGGUUUUACCUGUUG